UACGGAGGGGGCUAGCGUUGUUCGGAAUUACUGGGUGUAAAGCGCACGUAGGCGGCUUUGCAAGUCAGAGGUGAAAGCCCGGGGCUCAACCCCGGAAUUGCCUUUGAGACUGCAUCGCUAGAAUUGUGGAGAGGUAAGUGGAAUUCCGAGUGUAGAGGUGAAAUUCGUAGAUAUUCGGAAGAACACCAGUGGCGAAGGCGACUUACUGGACACAUAUUGACGCUGAGGUGCGAAAGCGUGGGGAGCAAACAGG
Molecule: ribosomal RNA, 253 nt
Filed under: uncultured bacterium
Lineage: Bacteria
Description: partial 16S ribosomal RNA
Rfam family: Bacterial small subunit ribosomal RNA
Source: RNAcentral